RNAcentral lists this ribosomal RNA (431 nucleotides) under uncultured Paracoccaceae bacterium. RNAcentral describes it as "bacterial SSU rRNA". It matches the Rfam family "Bacterial small subunit ribosomal RNA", at positions 29 to 505 of the family's 1533-position model. The record is from RNAcentral. Lineage: Bacteria; Pseudomonadati; Pseudomonadota; Alphaproteobacteria; Rhodobacterales; Paracoccaceae.
AACGAACGCUGGCGGCAGGCUUAACACAUGCAAGUCGAGCGCCCUGCUUGCAGGGAGCGGCGGACGGGUUAGUAACGCGUGGGAACGUGCCCUUCACUACGGAAUAGCCCAGGGAAACUUGGAUUAAUACCGUAUACGCCCUUAGGGGGAAAGAUUUAUCGGUGAAGGAUCGGCCCGCGUUAGAUUAGGUAGUUGGUGGGGUAACGGCCUACCAAGCCGACGAUCUAUAGCUGGUUUGAGAGGAUGAUCAGCAACACUGGGACUGAGACACGGCCCAGACUCCUACGGGAGGCAGCAGUGGGGAAUCUUGGACAAUGGGGGAAACCCUGAUCCAGCCAUGCCGCGUGAGCGAUGAAGGCCUUAGGGUUGUAAAGCUCUUUCGCCAGGGAUGAUAAUGACAGUACCUGGUAAAGAAACCCCGGCUAACUCCG